AUGAACGCUGGCGGCGUGCCUAAUACAUGCAAGUCGAGCGAACGGACGAGAAGCUUGCUUCUCUGAUGUUAGCGGCGGACGGGUGAGUAACACGUGGAUAACCUACCUAUAAGACUGGGAUAACUUCGGAAAACCGGAGCUAAUACCGGAUAAUAUUUUGAACCGCAUGGUUCAAAAGUGAAAGACGGUCUUGCUGUCACUUAUAGAUGGAUCCGCGCUGCAUUAGCUAGUUGGUAAGGUAACGGCUUACCAAGGCAACGAUGCAUAGCCGACCUGAGAGGGUGAUCGGCCACACUGGAACUGAGACACGGUCCGGACUCCUACGGGAGGCAGCAGUAGGGAAUCUUCCGCAAUGGGCGAAAGCCUGACGGAGCAACGCCGCGUGAGUGAUGAAGGUCUUCGGAUCGUAAAACUCUGUUAUUAGGGAAGAACAUAUGUGUAAGUAACUGUGCACAUCUUGACGGUACCUAAUCAGAAAGCCACGGCUAACUACGUG
RNAcentral lists this ribosomal RNA (496 nucleotides) under uncultured bacterium. RNAcentral's name for it is "partial 16S ribosomal RNA". It matches the Rfam family "Bacterial small subunit ribosomal RNA", at positions 29 to 507 of the family's 1533-position model. The record is from RNAcentral.